CCUACGGGUGGCAGCAGUGAGGAAUAUUGGUCAAUGGACGAAAGUCUGAACCAGCCAAGUAGCGUGAAGGAUGACUGCCCUAUGGGUUGUAAACUUCUUUUAUAUGGGAAUAAAACGUUCCACGUGUGGGAUUUUGUAUGUACCAUAUGAAUAAGGAUCGGCUAACUCCGUGCCAGCAGCCGCGGUAAUACGGAGGAUUCGAGCGUUAUCCGGAUUUAUUGGGUUUAAAGGGUGCGUAGGUGGAUUGUUAAGUCAGUUGUGAAAGGUUGCGGCUCAACCGUAAAAUUGCAUUUGAAACUGGCAGUCUUGAGUACAGGAGAGGUAGGCGGAAUGCGUGGUGUAGCGGUGAAAUGCUUAGAGAUCACGAAGAACUCCGAUUGCGAAGGCAGUUCACUGGACUGCAACUGACGCUGAGGCACGAAAGUGUGGGUAUCAAACAGGAUUAGAUACCCUGGUAGUC
This 460-nucleotide ribosomal RNA is filed under the name uncultured bacterium. RNAcentral's name for it is "partial 16S ribosomal RNA". It matches the Rfam family "Bacterial small subunit ribosomal RNA", at positions 338 to 795 of the family's 1533-position model. The record is from RNAcentral.